UGAGGAAUAUUGGGCAAUGCCCGCAAGGGUGACCCAGCAACGCCGCGUGGAGGAUGAAUGUCGUAAGAUUGUAAACUCCUGUUAGAGGGGAAGAAUAGUACCGGUUGGACCGGUAUAUGACUGUACCCUCAGAGAAAGCCCCGGCUAACUACGUGCCAGCAGCCGCGGUAAUACGUAGGGGGCAGGCGUUGUCCGGAUUUACUGGGUGUAAAGGGCGCGCAGGCGGGAUAAAAAGUCAGUGGUGAAAUCCUACAGCUUAACUGUAGAACUGCCUUUGAUACUUUUAUUCUUGAGUUCGGGAGAGAGAGACGGAAUUCCAGGUGUAGUGGUGAAAUACGUAGAUAUCUGGAAGAACACCAGUUGCGAAGGCGGUCUCUUGGUCCGACACUGACGCUGAGGCGCGAAAGCGUGGGGAGCAAACA
This 422-nucleotide ribosomal RNA is filed under the name uncultured bacterium. Its description in RNAcentral is "bacterial SSU rRNA". It matches the Rfam family "Bacterial small subunit ribosomal RNA", at positions 355 to 774 of the family's 1533-position model. The record is from RNAcentral.